Papaver somniferum (opium poppy) is the source of this 415-nucleotide long non-coding RNA. RefSeq lists it as uncharacterized. The transcript has 2 exons. NCBI's taxonomy places the organism in Eukaryota, Viridiplantae, Streptophyta, Magnoliopsida, Ranunculales, Papaveraceae. The record is from RefSeq and is a predicted model, not a curated record.
CACCCUCACAAGUUCACUCGUGACUCGACCAUAUCACUUAUCAGAGAAGAAAACUAAGAUAAAGCAGAAGAAUGGAUUGAAUCUAAGGAAGUGACGGGAGCCUGAAUUUCAAUACACUGCAGGUGCUGAUGUUAAAAUUGGAGUAGUUUUUGUAUCCACAUGUAAAUACUCUAAACAGUGAUUUAGGUAUGGUUCAUAAAUUUUUUUUUGUGAAUGUUAAGAUUUUUGGUUUUGACCCAGGACUGAAAAGUCCUGGCUCCCUCGCUACAUUUGCUUUUGAUUUUUGGGAUUAAUUUUUGCUUCUUUAGCAACAUUUGUAUUUCUGCUUCUCGGCCUUUGGGGUGUAUAGAGCAAGUCACUGAGACUUCCCAUAUCACUAUUCGAAUUUUAAAAACCCGACAAGAUUAGUUUUCAA